UACGGGGGGGGCAAGCGUUGUUCGGAAUUACUGGGCGUAAAGGGUUUGUAGGUGGCUUGCUAAGUCAGACGUGAAAUCCCUCAGCUUAACUGGGGAACUGCGUCUGAGACUGGCAAGCUCGAGUGCAGGAGAGGAACGCGGAAUUCCAGGUGUAGCGGUGAAAUGCGUAGAGAUCUGGAGGAACACCGAUGGCGAAGGCAGCCUUCUGGGCCAACACUGACGCUCAUGCACGAAAGCGUGGGGAGCAAACAGG
RNAcentral lists this ribosomal RNA (253 nucleotides) under uncultured bacterium. Its description in RNAcentral is "partial 16S ribosomal RNA". It matches the Rfam family "Bacterial small subunit ribosomal RNA", at positions 524 to 776 of the family's 1533-position model. The record is from RNAcentral.